UUUUAAACCAAUAUUCAUUCAAAAUGGCCAUAUCCUGCCAAAUAUUCUACCUGUUUUGCACUCAAACUGGUCAGGUCUGGCUUCUCACAACAACCCUACA
This is a long non-coding RNA of Octopus sinensis (East Asian common octopus), 100 nucleotides long. RefSeq lists it as uncharacterized. The record is from RefSeq and is a predicted model, not a curated record. NCBI's taxonomy places the organism in Eukaryota, Metazoa, Mollusca, Cephalopoda, Octopoda, Octopodidae. The transcript has 3 exons.